This 253-nucleotide ribosomal RNA is filed under the name uncultured bacterium. Its description in RNAcentral is "partial 16S ribosomal RNA". It matches the Rfam family "Bacterial small subunit ribosomal RNA", at positions 524 to 776 of the family's 1533-position model. The record is from RNAcentral.
UACGUAGGUGGCAAGCGUUGUCCGGAUUUAUUGGGCGUAAAGAGCGUGUAGGCGGCCAAGCAGGUCAGCUGUGAAAACUCGAGGCUCAACCUCGAGACGUCGGUUGAAACCGCUUGGCUAGAGUCCGGAAGAGGAGAGUGGAAUUCCCGGUGUAGCGGUGAAAUGCGCAGAUAUCGGGAAGAACACCCGUGGCGAAGGCGGCUCUCUGGGACGGUACUGACGCUGAGACGCGAAAGCGUGGGGAGCGAACAGG